This 103-nucleotide ribosomal RNA is filed under the name uncultured bacterium. RNAcentral's name for it is "partial 16S ribosomal RNA". It matches the Rfam family "Bacterial small subunit ribosomal RNA", at positions 1384 to 1482 of the family's 1533-position model. The record is from RNAcentral.
UACACACCGCCCGUCACACCAUGGGAGUUGGUUCGACCUUAAGCCGGUGCGCGAACCCAGCGAUGGGACGCAGCCGACCACGGUCGGGUUAGUGACUGGGGUG